Molecule: ribosomal RNA, 274 nt
Filed under: uncultured bacterium
Lineage: Bacteria
Description: partial 16S ribosomal RNA
Rfam family: Bacterial small subunit ribosomal RNA
Source: RNAcentral
AUACGGAGGGUGCAAGCGUUACUCGGAAUCACUGGGCGUAAAGGAUGCGUAGGCUAGAUGUCAAGUUGGAAGUGAAAUCCUAUGGCUUAACCAUAGAACUGCUUCCAAAACUGGCAACCUAGAGUGAGGGAGAGGCAGAUGGAAUUAGUGGUGUAGGGGUAAAAUCCGUAGAUAUCACUAGGAAUACCGAUUGCGAAGGCGAUCUGCUAGAACUCUACCGACGCUAAGGCAUGAAAGCGUGGGGAGCAGACAGGAUUAGAAACCCCGGUAGUCC